UUGUGGAUAUCUCUGGAUAGGCACUUGGAUAUCGGCCCGCGCGGCCCGAGAUUUUCGUUCACCUGCGGCCGCCGCGUUUUGUGUCAGAAAUCGGGCCCCGUGAGGGGGGUACCUAUUUGUUUUGUUUCGUUUAUAGUGUUCUUUUCAAUUUAUGGAUUACUUCCGCCUAUCAAAUUAAAGAGGAAAGAAAGGCGCGUAUUAUGGCGUUUUCCACUUCGGGAUCGGUUGUGUGUGUUCGGAGUUACAAGGAGUUAAAAAUAAGCCCCUGAUCACAACCUGCCACUGUUCCAUUGGAUUUAUUGACAGCUCACCAGAAUAAAUCCUGACUUUAAUUAAAAUCCAGAAAUUGAAAUGCUUGCGGAGUUGGUCGAAUUCACAGAAAAACUUGUUUGAACAAGUUGCAAAAAAAUUGAGCACUUAAGAAAGCAUUUGUUGCAGACAAGGAAAAAAAAUUGACAUUAAUUUAACAAUAUCAAGUUGGCAGACUGGGUGAACUAAACAAUUGCCAGAAAUAAAGAAAGAAUAAAUAAGUAUCGUGACACAAUUGCGUGCUUCAAAAAACAUGUCAUAUUUCACAACUAAUUGUCUUUGAAGAAGAUGAACAUUUAAAUAAACACAAUAAAAAUAUAAUGAAAAACUUGCUGAACAAACUGAAGUAAUAAAAUUAGAAGAGACUAUUGUUUAACUUACAGGGCAAUCUCAUGAGUUAAAGAUGUAAAAGAGAAAUCAAAGAUAAAGACAGAGUAAUUGAUCAUUUACAUGACAAAUUAAAACAUGAAAGAAACAUUCUAACAAUAACAUGCAAAAUGAAUUUAAAAAA
Long non-coding RNA from Aplysia californica (California sea hare), 820 nucleotides. RefSeq lists it as uncharacterized. NCBI's taxonomy places the organism in Eukaryota, Metazoa, Mollusca, Gastropoda, Aplysiida, Aplysiidae. The record is from RefSeq and is a predicted model, not a curated record. The transcript is spliced from 2 exons.